GUUUUUUAUUUUUUACUUUUAGAUUAUUUUAUGUGUAUGAGUGUUUUGUCUUCAUGUGUGCCUGCACUACAGGUGCGGGAACUUGAGGAUGUGGUGAGCCUCCAUGUGGGAAUCAAACCUGCGUUCUUUCAACAAGUGCUCUUAACACACUGAGCCAACACUCCAGCUCAACAUUUUUUUUAAUUUAAUUUUUAAAUUUUAUAUACAUUGGUGCUUUGACUGCAUGUCUGUGUGAGGGGGUACAGAAGAUACAGACAGUUGGGAGCCCAAGUCUCUACAAGAGCAGCUAGUGCUCUUAACCACGGAACCAUCAUCUCUCCAGCCCAAGGACAAAGUCUUAACCCAGGUGUUAGGCUCCAGCUCGCUACAGCCCCACCCCCACCGAUGGUGCCGAAACCGAGUUCCAGGUAGCCACAGCCCUUCUCCUGAAUGAUCACCAGGCACUUGAGUCAUGACCUUACAUGGGGAAAAAAAAGCCAGCUCUUGUCUGACACACAACCUUUCCCCUUGCUCAGGACUCUUAAGAAUCGUCCAUCAUGGGUCCUUGGUCCAAGAGCUGCACCAAUAAACCUGACCUUGUUCGUUUGCCAAAUGAACCAAACCCAUGAGCCUCUCACCAAGGAGGGUUCUCAAGGAGGCCUACCCAUAUUAUUACUGCAGACUCUGCGGAUAGAAUAAGUGCAGUUGAGAUCGAAAGACCCUCGAUCAAUUUCAGAGAAGGAAGGCCAUUCGAGUUCAGGGUCCGAACUUUGAGGGUUUUGACUUAGCACCAGAUGGUUUUAGAGCUUUGACUCCGAAGCCAUAUCCCGCAACUCAUUUUCUGAAAUCAGAAAACUUGUCAAGAAGGGAUAGAGACAGAGGAUUGACCGAUGGCGCGGGUUGGAAUGAGGACCACCAGACACCGAACGAACGAAGUUGUUACUGGGUCCAAUUUUCUAAAAACCGAACGGCUCCUGAACUCAGAAACUAGAUGGUGUUGGGGACCUCUCGGCAGAGGACUGAGGGAACGUCGCCACACAUGGCUUCCCUCCUAGUGUUUGGCCGGCCAAGAACUGAAUGGUCACGCCCAGACGGAACGAACAGAGGCACCUCUUUCCUUACAACUCGGGUGGGACCGAGUGCUGUAGUAGAUAGGAGUAAGAUCAAACUUUAACCAGGUACACAGAGCAUACUUUGUGGUUAUAACUUUCGAGAUGCGAGGAGUACAAACUGCUCACGUUAACUGAAUUCUGCAGCUCAUGGUGGAGCACAUGCCUAGCUUGCUCAUGGCCCCUACAUGGAGCCCUAGCACCAAGGAGAGAAGCACGUGUAUUGACACACGUGUCACGUAAGCGCCAGUUAUCGUACAACCGGAUUUCUCUGCAACCCGUCUUGAUCUGUAGCAGAUCAAGCUACGUCCUCUAACGUUAUCCUAUCAGGAAACUACGGAUAUUAAUGCACCAAUCUUCUUGGAAAUGCACUUUAGCGUUUGAAGCCACAUGAUGCAGGAUAGACAGUUUGGUCACAUGACGACGCUUGUACGGUUCCCUUCCGCGCAUCUGUAACAUCCCUUAAGAUGCCUGAUUACUUUCCCUUCUUUCGAGAAAGACGCUGCCAAUUGCCGCAGAAAGAGUGAGAGGAUGGGAGCUCGUUUCUGCCACUGUAACGUACAGAGGUCGUGCUCCCACGAAGAGGCGCGCUCCCAACCCUUCCAUCUCCUUUUCCUUCAGGCGCACGCGGGGGCAGCCCUGUGUCUCUCUGGGUCCUUUCGCUCCGCGGGCGCCGGAGCUACGUCACCGAGCGGCGCCAGUGGUCCGGAUUUUCCCCGGCUCCAUUCGAGCCGCGGCCUCAAUGUCCUUGCCUCGGUGUACCUUGCUGUGGGCUCGGCUCCCGGCGGGGCGCGGGGCUGGGCCCCGGGCGGCCCCUUGCUCCGCCCUUCGCGCUCUCGUGGGGUCGUUCCCGGGGGCUUCAGGACGCGUUCCCUGCUUGGCCGCCUCCUCCUCUGCCUCUGGUGGCUCCAAAGCCCCGAACACGUCCUUGUUCGUGCCGCUGACGGUGAAGCCUCAGGGUCCCAGCGCCGAUGGCGACGUGGGCGCGGAGCUCACUCGGCCUCUAGACAAGAAUGAAGUAAAGAAGAUCUUAGACAAGUUUUAUAAGAGGCAAGAAAUUCAAAAGCUGAGUGCUGACUAUGGACUUGAUGCUCGUCUCUUCCACCAGGCUUUCAUAAGCUUCAGGAAUUACAUUAUGCAAUCCCAUUCUCUGGACGUGGACAUUCACAUUGUCCUGAAUGAUAUCUGCUUCAGUGCAGCUCAUGUGGACGAUUUAUUUCCAUUUUUCUUGAGACAUGCCAAACAAAUAUUUCCUGUAUUGGAAUGCAAGGAUGAUCUACGUAAAAUCAGUGACUUGAGGAUACCACCCAACUGGUACCCAGAAGCCAGAGCGAGACAGCGGAAGAUAAUAUUCCACUCAGGCCCUACCAACAGUGGGAAGACUUACCAUGCCAUCCAGAGAUACCUGUCAGCGACCUCUGGCGUGUACUGCGGUCCUCUAAAACUGCUGGCGCACGAGAUCUUUGAGAAGAGCAAUGCUGCUGGUGUGCCGUGUGACUUGGUGACAGGUGAAGAGCGGCUGACAGUGGAGCCUGAGGGGAAACAAGCCACCCAUGUCUCUUGCACUGUGGAGAUGUGCAAUGUUGCAACUCCUUAUGAAGUGGCAGUGAUAGAUGAAAUCCAGAUGAUUCGAGACCCAGCCAGAGGAUGGGCUUGGACCAGAGCACUGCUAGGGCUCUGUGCCGAGGAAGUCCAUUUAUGUGGAGAGUCUGCUGCUAUUAACCUGGUCUCUGAGCUCCUGUACACCACUGGGGAGGAAGUAGAGGUUCAGAAGUAUGAGAGGCUUACCCCCAUUUCUGUGCUGGAUCAUGCGCUGGAGUCUUUGGACAACCUUCAGCCUGGGGACUGCAUUGUCUGCUUUAGCAAGAAUGACAUUUAUUCUGUGAGCCGACAGAUUGAAAUUCGGGGACUGGAAUCCGCGGUGAUAUACGGCAGCUUGCCACCUGGGACCAAACUUGCUCAAGCAAGAAAGUUUAAUGACCCCAAUGAUCCAUGCAAGAUCCUGGUAGCCACAGAUGCAAUUGGCAUGGGACUUAAUUUCCCAGCAUCAAUGAAAAGGGAGAGAAGGAGCUGGAGCCCAUCACCACCUCCCAAGCCCUGCAGAUUGCAGGCAGAGCUGGCAGAUUCAGCUCACACUUUAAAGAGGGGCAGGUUACCACAAUGCACCGAGACGACCUGGCUUUAUUGAAGGACAUUUUGAAUAGACCUGUGGAUCCUAUACAGGCCGCCGGUCUCCACCCGACUGCCGAGCAGAUUGAGAUGUUUGCCUACCACCUCCCCGAGACAACGCUGUCCAAUCUCAUUGAUAUUUUUGUAGACUUUGCACAAGUUGAUGGGCAGUACUUUGUCUGCAAUAUGGAUGAUUUUAAGUUCUCUGCAGAGCUGAUCCAGCAUAUCCCACUAAGUCUCCGGGUGAGGUAUGUGUUCUGCACAGCCCCCAUCAAUAAGAAGCAGCCUUUUGUCUGCUCGUCGUUGUUACAGUUUGCCAGGCAGUACAGCAGGAAUGAGCCCCUGACCUUUGCAUGGCUACGCCGGUACAUCAAGUGGCCUCUGCUUCCGCCUAAGAAUAUUAAAGACCUCAUGGAUCUUGAAGCUGUCCAUGACGUCUUUGAUCUUUACCUGUGGCUAAGCUACCGAUUUAUUGAUAUGUUUCCAGACUCUAGCCUUGUUCGAAGUCUCCAGAAAGAGCUGGAUGCCAUUAUCCAAGAAGGCGUGCACAACAUCACCAAGCUGAUUAAAAUCUCUGAGUCACGCAAGCUUUUGAAUCUGGAGAGCUUACCAUCGGGGGACCAGUCACGGUUGUCAGGAGCCUCCAAGAGCCCAGCGAGAAGGACACGUGGCACCAAAAGUGCAGGGAAUAAGGCCACAGAGCCACUCAGCCCCAGUGACAAGGAGCUGCCCCUUGCCUCUAGGUUGGUGCAGCAAGGACUCCUCACUGCAGACAUGCUCAGGCAGCUCCAGAAGGAGUGGCUGACACAGCAGCCAGAACACAGCAGAGAGAAAGUGGGGACACGGAGAAAGAAGAAGGACCCCGACUCCGAUUAGGUUUUUUUAAUUUUGCAAAUAAAAAUCAAUUUUAAAUCCUUAUGCACACGGCAUUCUCUGCCUGAGGCAGGAUUGUGGCCAACUUGUACUA
Mus musculus (house mouse) is the source of this 4224-nucleotide RNA transcript. It is a transcript of the gene named suppressor of var1, 3-like 1 (S. cerevisiae), with no coding region annotated. NCBI's taxonomy places the organism in Eukaryota, Metazoa, Chordata, Mammalia, Rodentia, Muridae. The record is from RefSeq and is marked validated. The transcript has 15 exons.